CCUACGGGUGGCUGCAGUGGGGAAUCUUGCGCAAUGGCCGAAAGGCUGACGCAGCGACGCCGCGUGGAGGAUGACGCCCUUCGGGGUGUAAACUCCUGUUGCCCGGGACGAACCGGCGGUUUCGACCGCUCUGACGGUACCGGGUGAGGAAGCACCGGCUAACUCCGUGCCAGCAGCCGCGGUAAUACGGAGGGUGCGAGCGUUGUCCGGAAUCACUGGGCGUAAAGGGCGCGUAGGCGGUGGGAUAAGCGUGUGGUGAAAGUCCGGGGCUCAAC
Molecule: ribosomal RNA, 275 nt
Filed under: uncultured Gemmatimonas sp.
Lineage: Bacteria; Pseudomonadati; Gemmatimonadota; Gemmatimonadia; Gemmatimonadales; Gemmatimonadaceae
Description: partial 16S ribosomal RNA
Rfam family: Bacterial small subunit ribosomal RNA
Source: RNAcentral